GCCGUAACGUGCUUUCGUUCAAAUUUUCGCCUUGAUGUGAAGGACUUAACCCAAAAACACAUCAAAAUUGCAUUUAAACAUUACCAAUUUUAAUUAAACAUUAAUAUAUUACAUAUUUUUUGGUGGGAAUUAAAAAUAACUUAGUGCUCCACUUCAAUGACAUUUUUUUGGAAAAUAAAACCCUAAUCUACUAGUCGACGUCCAAAGCGCCGAGGUUGAUGAUCUCGGCUGCACCGCCGUCGCCUGCACCGCCCUCAUCGUCAUCGCUGCUCUCGGCAAGGGUAUCCCAGUCGACGACGUCGGCGGCGGCGGCUGGCACCGCCGCCUCCACUAGCGCCACCGCAUCCGCAUGCGCCGCCGCCGCUUGCACUGCCACCGCCACUUCCAGAGCUUCACUGGUGUCAGCCGCCUCCACUGGCGCCACCGCAUCCACCUGCGCCGCCGCCUACAUUGCUGCCGCCGCUUGCACUGCCACCGCCACUUCCAGGGCUUCACUGGCCGCCGCUGCCGCUGCAGCUGUCGCUUCCGAUGCCUGAAGGGCGAAGAGGAGCUCGGGGGUGUUCUCGGGGUCGUUGUCUUCACGAAGGACGACCUGUUCUGCCAGGAGAUCGACGACAUCAGGGCGUGGGGACGGCCGCGAUGUCAGAACCUGUAGACGCGGGGCCGACGCCGAGCCUGCAGUCGGACGCCUGGCUGGUGGGUGCGGGGACGACGACGAACCUGACGUCGAUCGCCGGAGUUCGUCGAUGAUGUCCCAAUAGGACUUGUCGUUCCAGAAAGCGUGGCGGCCGACGGCGGCGCUCCUGCGCCGUCACGCUGGGGCCUCUCGUCGGGUAUCCGUUGUCGGAGAUCUUGAACUCCUUCAGGAGACGUCACCCCGGCGGCACCAUGAUGCUGAAGCGGAGAAGCUCCUCUGUCUCCGACGUGCCCAAACUUGUCAGCUAGGCACUGUCGGGCAG
This 959-nucleotide long non-coding RNA is filed under the name Hordeum vulgare. RNAcentral's name for it is "long non-coding RNA (HVUL_LNC018622)". The record is from RNAcentral. Lineage: Eukaryota; Viridiplantae; Streptophyta; Magnoliopsida; Poales; Poaceae.